Non-coding RNA from Paramuricea clavata, 1386 nucleotides. NCBI's taxonomy places the organism in Eukaryota, Metazoa, Cnidaria, Anthozoa, Malacalcyonacea, Plexauridae. The record is from the annotation of a GenBank genome assembly.
AGUCUAAGACUUUCACCGAUGUGCCUCUUAAUUAAUACCUGAUCAACGAUACCGUGAAUAUUGGAACAGACGCCUGACGACAAAAAAGAUAGCGCCACGCAUUGCAUGCCGGUUAAAUUGCGAAGUUUCAGAUAAUCUGUGAUGUUAUUUACAGAUAUAGAAGAGACAAGAGUGAGUAAAGUUUCACAAGAUAUACUUUGAUAAAAACAAACCGCCGGGAAGGCAAAACUAUAAAUAUAUUCAAGACAAUAAAUAUUCAAGGCAGCUAUCUAUGCAUGCAGUCAGUCUAUUCUAGCAACUUUAAUUAAUUAUGUGUGUUAUAACUCUUAAAAUUGAAAACAAACUUAUAAUAAAUAUAAAAUACCGAACGUUUUCUGACUGAUUCAACAAUUUUGUUUGAAAUAUCUUUCAAAGUAUAGUUUAUAUCGUUUCAACAAAUUUCGCAGCUUGCAUCCUCGAUUCCAUGUCUGGUAUAUACGGGGCUCCGAUGGCAUGGUCGUCAAGCAGGCCUGGUCGUCAAGCAGGCCUGGUCGUCAAGCAGGCCUGGUCGUCAAGCGACUUGCGCACGGACUCGUCAGUGUGCAUGAAAAGAGCCAUUGAAGUGCUCCGGUGUCCUAUAUACCAAAGCAAAGGGGAAAUUGACAUGCAGGAUGGUUUAAGGUAAACACAAUUAAUUUAAGAAAGUAAUAUCACAAUUGUUGUAAAGAUAAGAAAUAGUCUAGGCUAAUGAUGCUUGUGAUGUCACUCUGAGUGUAUAUCCACACCAGACAAGCUUGAAAAAUAUGCCUGGCCACGGUGGGAAUUGAAUCUACGUACGACCUUUGGAAUGCUAGCCCAAUGUGCCAACUGAGCUACGCGGUCAGGUCGGUUCGAGUAUGUGAUAUUUCGGAACUGUCCAGUUCGAUAUCGAUGUAAUCUAGUAAUCAUGAAUUUUUUCUGUGUUGGUGACUUGGUGUAAUGUACUCAGGUGAAUAUGGGCUAGUAUCCCAAAGGUCGUAGGUUCACUCAGAGUAACAUCACAAGCAUCAUAAAAAAAUCAUGAUUGCUAGAUUACAUCGAUAUCGAAGGAACUGUACUCAGUUCCAAAAUAACACAUACUCGAACCAACCUGACCGCGUAGCUCAGUUGGCAUGCAGAGCAUUGGGCUAGUAUUCCAAAGGUCGUAGGUUCAAUUCCGGCCGUGGUCAGGCAUAUUUUUCAAGCUUGCCCGGUGUGGAUAUACACUCAGAGUAACAUCACAAGCAUCAUAUACAUCACACCAACACAGAAAAAAAGUCUAGGCUAUUAAAGUUUGUUUUUAGGUAAGCGUAACAUUUGAUAUGUUGACCGCAUUUGAUGAUAUCCACGUGUGAAUUUGCGCUAUAGAAAUGCUAAUCGUAUACCACG